AGGGCAGUAGCUCUAAUUGGUAGAGCAACGGACUCCAAAUCCGUAGGUUGUGGGUUCGAAUCCCUCCUGCCCUGCCA
RNAcentral lists this transfer RNA (77 nucleotides) under Proteobacteria bacterium SG_bin7. RNAcentral describes it as "tRNA-Trp". It matches the Rfam family "tRNA". Rfam says of the family: Transfer RNA (tRNA) molecules are approximately 80 nucleotides in length. Their secondary structure includes four short double-helical elements and three loops (D, anti-codon, and T loops). Further hydrogen bonds mediate the characteristic L-shaped molecular structure. tRNAs have two regions of fundamental functional importance: the anti-codon, which is responsible for specific mRNA codon recognition, and the 3' end, to which the tRNAs corresponding amino acid is attached (by aminoacyl-tRNA synthetases). tRNAs cope with the degeneracy of the genetic code in two manners: having more than one tRNA (with a specific anti-codon) for a particular amino acid; and 'wobble' base-pairing, i.e. permitting non-standard base-pairing at the 3rd anti-codon position. The record is from RNAcentral. Lineage: Bacteria; Pseudomonadati; Pseudomonadota.